UGAAUACUCUCUGUUGAGGAUACUCAUUAACUCUCAGGAGGUGCUCAACUUCCACAAUCAGCUUCAAACAUGGAGACAGCUGUGCUGUCCCAUCUUCAGCAUUCGGCUGGCCUGCUAGAUUAUAGGAAUUUAUGGAGGCGCGAACCAGUCGUUAACAGGCUAGAGGAGAGGACUGCAGCAGGAAAAGCAACCACCAGGCACGUGUAAGGUAACAUUAUGGUUGGAAGAGACAUCGGGAGGUCAUCCAGUCCUGCUCAAAGCAGGACCACCACCAACUAAGUAACUUUGUGCCAGCGAUUAAACAGCUGCAAAGGAAAGUGCAGAG
This is a long non-coding RNA of Mauremys mutica (yellowpond turtle), 325 nucleotides long. RefSeq lists it as uncharacterized. NCBI's taxonomy places the organism in Eukaryota, Metazoa, Chordata, Testudines, Geoemydidae. The transcript has 3 exons. The record is from RefSeq and is a predicted model, not a curated record.